Triticum dicoccoides is the source of this 262-nucleotide long non-coding RNA. RefSeq lists it as uncharacterized. Lineage: Eukaryota; Viridiplantae; Streptophyta; Magnoliopsida; Poales; Poaceae. The record is from RefSeq and is a predicted model, not a curated record. The transcript has 3 exons.
CUUUAGGAUGCUUUUUGGAUGGACUAAUCUGAAGAUGCUGGCUAGCUUACACCGCCAUCAUACAGUCUAGAAGUACAGGGAAAAUAAAGGCAAUUCGCCAUCUGGAGAAAUACCAACUAAUACAUUUUUGUACUUUCUUUGUUACAGAGGUUGCUCUUGUAGAGAAAACAUAGUAAACUCAGAUGAUUGGAUUAGAAAAUACUCUUCAGCAUCUGAAACAUCUAAAGGCGGUCACUCAACUAAGUAUCUUAUACAAUAUACC